UGCAGGGUUUGCUUAAGCUGUAACAUACUGCCCUGAGGAGGAGCAAAGACACCUCGAUACCGCUGCGUCCACUAGAACAACCUGGAGAAUAGCCUGGAAUUCCUCAUAGCAUGGAGACUGGGUUCCAGGAAGACAAUCCCAGUGUACAAAUGCUUAUCAACCCUCGGCUCGCAUCAUGGCUGCUGACGCGGGGCCAAAGCCAGUCUCAUGUCCGAGCUCAAAAUUAAUAUGGGAGAGAACUCCACAGGCCCCAGUACCGGGAGUGGACUCCUUGUGAACCACCGGUGUAAAGUCUAACACAGAAAAGACUUGAGAAAGUUCUUUGCACCAAACAGGCUGGUAGCUCAUGAUCACGUCUUGUGUCCUGAGGUGUGCAUCUGCUUCACAGAAUCUAUGAAUCCACUCAAGUUAUAUGCAAAGGCUGCGUGAAUAGACAUUUUUUUCGGAUGCAGCUUACAAAGAGAAGUCUGUGGUUCUUCCUUCCAUAUCCCAUCCCUCCGGCUGUAUGCAUAAGGAGGCAAUACCAGGCUGGCUGGGUUGGAGACAAUCAAUGGUGACCUUGAAGACUGCUGAGCUGCUGAGAACAUGAGUCCCUGAAUUAUUGUGUGGAUGAAAGUUGCCCCGCCAACACAUUCCCCUGUCCGGAUCAGCGUCCUCCUGUUCUAUGUCCUUUGGAUUUGCACAAGCACAGAGUGUAUGAUGUUUGCGGCAACAAGGCAGGGACAAUUUAAUGGCAUUUCCACCAGAUUGUGUGAAGACACUCCAACUGCUCUUGGCUCCUUCCCAGUUGCAUUGGCCUCCUUGCCCUCCCACAGGUGGGCUUUCAUACCCAGGGCAGAGCUGGAACACGGCCAUGACUGCUGCAGAAGAGGUCUUUCCUGGACAGACUGGUCAGACGGCACUGGAGCAUUUGUAAUGGGAGGGUUGUUUGUCUUUCCUUCAUCUUUAAGAAGGUCAGAAAAGACCCAGCUCGCUAUGUCCGGGUAAAGAGAAAUGCAAAGAUGAAACUUACCUUACAUCUCUAUACUCCUCCCUUCCCAAUGUUCACCUCGGUAUAUAAAUGGAGUCCCUAACUUUCACUCCUUAAUCCCAACACCAGGUGAUGUUCUUCCGUCUCUAGGGAACCUUUCCUUUCCUUACUUUUCUCAGAUUUACUUCCACAAAAAUCAUCCUCUCAUUCUAUAAAUGGUGCCUUUUUCUUCAUUGUUAUUAUUGCCCUUAUUCUUCAUCUCUAUCUUUGAGAAUAUUCUUUUUUCUCUCUAUAAAAAUAACAACAAAUAUCCUGAUUUGAUUCUGAUUUUUCUUUUAAUUACCAUCCUUUCUUUUUCCAUUUGAUGCAAAACUCUUGGGACAUAUGGUUAUCUUAAUUUUUCUCCCAUUACCUUCCAAGUUCUACAAUUUAAGCUAUUUCAUUGAGUUAAAUAUAUCAUUGAGUUAAAAACCAUCAAUUGAAUUACAUUUACGACUUUAUAAAUUGCCUGAAUGAUACAAAUUGAUUUCAUUGUUUUUAAAGUGAUACUUCAUAUAUUCAUAGAAGCAUUUCCAAUCAACUGUAUUAUAAAUUAUCCCUGGAGAAUCAGUGUUUCUCUGCAAUGAGUAGGGGCCAUCUUCCAAUAUUGCAAACAUUUGGCCCAUUUACAAAUGAGUCUGCUUUUUAUUUCAGGGUUUAAUAAAUUGAUUUUUAUAGUGAAUUUAUUCAAUUAUAAUAGGAAGAUAUCCUAUGCAUUAAUAAUUUUAAAAUUUAAAUAUACAAGUACCCAGUUAGUUUUGUUCUUAAUUACUGUAUAUAGACAGACACACACUUUUUUUUGCCUACUGCAAUCCAUAUAAAAUUUAAUAGUAGUUUGACUAAUGUGAUAAAAAUUAUUUUGUUUAUAAUUACUUCAAUUUGUUGGAAGAACUUUAAACACUUGGUUCCUACAAGUGGAAAUUAACAUUUUAAAGACACAGUGUUGUCAGAGAGUUCAGCAAAGCAUUUGAGUACUUUUUAGCCUCAAGAAGUGGGAAAAUUGUACUUAUUUAAAUGUCACUGUUUUGCAAAAACUUUGAGUCUUUUUCUUCUUUGUCUCUUUAUCCCUCAUUUGCUAGUGCUUACACAAUAUAUGCAGUAAAUGUAUUUUUUGGAAGUCUAACUAUUUUUAACAGAUGCAAUCCUUAAUUUUAUUGCUUCAUAUUUAUAUUAGAGAUUAAUAUGUUUGCCUGAAUGCCAGGCAGAUUAACUUCUCUUUGUUUAGCUUUAUAAUUUUUGCUUUAAGCACUGGAGAAGUUUGUUAUUGACAAAGCUGAACUAAUGUCAAUGAUCUUAUUUUUCAGAAUUUUUUGUGACAUUUAAAUUUUGGGAAAACAUAUAUGCAUAUAAAUUAGAUGAUAAAGGUAGAAACCGAGGCUUUAAUUACAAGAGAUACUCAGUGUACUUUUUAUUCUUAAGCCUACUAGAUGAGAAAAUUCAAGCCAUUAUUCAAUGUUUUUUUAAAUAAUUUAUUGCUGUUUUUAGAACUCUUUACCGUGUUUAUUCUAAUUCUUUAAUUCCUUCAAUAAGAAAAAUCAACCUAAUUAAAUAAUUGCAGGUUAAAAUUAAAUUUCAUUUCAAUAUUCUUGACCAGGGAACCCUAAGAGUUUUUAAGUGUUUAAGUAACUCAGUUGUGUAAGCGUUAACAGUCAGAAAUAUAUCCAGGUCAUCUAAGUCAUACAAUUGUCAGAUGGUUGCUAGGCAACAGAUAUCAGGUUUGGCUGAUGCUUGUUUCUAGGCAAAGCUUACCAUGUGAAAAGAAGAACAAAUUACAUGACACCUGCAUUUUGUUGUUAUGCUUUUUGAAAAUAAAGUUGUAUUUGGAGGGGAAAAAAGCCCUGACAUUUAUUAUGCACAUCAUCUUUCUUCUAAAUGUCAGAACUAUAUCAUUUGAUAGUUAAGUGAUAAGGUACAAUGAAUUGAAAUGACGGAUGACAUUUUAUUUCUUUUAUGGUUUUAGAUAAGGGCCUUUUGCCUAAUGCUGUUUUUAUAUCUUGUCAUCAAGUUAAUUAACUUUCUGAAUUCAUUAUGAUAGAAAAGAAGCUGCAAGUCAAAAUUAAUUGAAAUAUAAUUAAUUUAAAAUAUACAUAUUUCAAUGCUACUGAGAACAAGAAGUGAAAAUGACUUAUGUUACAUGAUUCUAGUACAACGUCAAAAUAUUUCACUGGUGAUGGAAGUGAUGUUGAGAGAGAGAUCACGUUUUAGAAAUCUAAGGUAAUAUUCCCAUUUUUGGAUAGUUAAAGACCUAGUCAAAAUUAUAGCUUGGCCCACAAAGUCUGAUGUUGGAACUCUGCCAAGUGUGAAGACGUAUUCUUCCAUCACGGUAAGGAUAUGUGGAUGAGAAGAACCACAACACAAUGAAGACAACAGUCAAGUAAGAAAGUUCUUGUAUCAGCACAAAGGAAAUUUUGCAGGAGUUGGGGAAUGAGGAGAAGUUGGAGGCAUGGAGAGGGGAGGUGUGGGGAGAGAAGCAGCUGUCAUUGUACAAGAUGACUUAGUGAGACAUUGAGAAAGACCAGAUGUUAGCAACAAAAAAUAUGUUUACAUUCCUAGAGGAUAAAAAGAGAGUUGGGGAGGCUGUUGCUUUUCAAACCACAGCUCGUGUAUAGUUUAAGAGAAAAAGGAGGUACUUUCCCACGAUACUUUCUCUUUAUGCGUCAGAUAGUUUCACUUGUUGCAGAAAAAAAGGAAGUGAGGAAGAGAUGAAGUGAGGAGGAGAAAGAGAAAGGAAGGUAGAGAGAAUCUUUUUAUUGCUUGUUACAUAUAUGCACACAUACACAUUUAUAAAUAGCUAGGCAGCCGUCACUCACUGUGUGCUAGGCUCUGUGCUAGGAGCUUUUUUCCUAAUCUGAAUCUUUCCUUUGAUCCUAAAAAAAUGGGAUCAUAAUCUCUGGUACAUACUAGGAAAUUAUGGUUCAGAGGAGUUAAAUACCUUGCCUAAGUUUACAUGGCUAAGUAAGGGGCGGAAACUUACACUGUCUCACUCCAAAGGCCAUGCUCUUUGCGCUAUACCAUGAUAUCUCUGAUUACUCGUUUAGUUAAUUUUUAUUCCUUAUGUAGAGAUGACCAAAAAAUGGGUAUUCAUUUGGAAAAAGUAACAUAAUGAUUUGGACAUUGGACAAAUAUCUAUCAUAUCCAUCUUGAUCCUUUAAAAUUUAAACUUCCUUAAGAUAUCACUAUCUGUAUUAUAUUUUGAAAAUAUUUUUAUUUAUUUCUCAUCUUCAUUAAAAUGUACCAUAAUUAUUAUUUCACUGUU
Diceros bicornis minor is the source of this 4265-nucleotide long non-coding RNA. RefSeq lists it as uncharacterized. The record is from RefSeq and is a predicted model, not a curated record. NCBI's taxonomy places the organism in Eukaryota, Metazoa, Chordata, Mammalia, Perissodactyla, Rhinocerotidae. The transcript has 8 exons.